RNAcentral lists this transfer RNA (78 nucleotides) under Flavobacteriaceae bacterium TMED68. Its description in RNAcentral is "tRNA-Asp". It matches the Rfam family "tRNA". From Rfam's summary of the family: Transfer RNA (tRNA) molecules are approximately 80 nucleotides in length. Their secondary structure includes four short double-helical elements and three loops (D, anti-codon, and T loops). The record is from RNAcentral. Lineage: Bacteria; Pseudomonadati; Bacteroidota; Flavobacteriia; Flavobacteriales; Flavobacteriaceae.
GGGGGCGUGGUAAAGUCUGGAGUUUACGCCUGCCUGUCACGCAGGAGGUCGCGGGUUCGAAUCCCGUCGUCCCCGCAA